Molecule: ribosomal RNA, 1119 nt
Filed under: Staphylococcus aureus M42496
Lineage: Bacteria; Bacillati; Bacillota; Bacilli; Caryophanales; Staphylococcaceae
Description: bacterial SSU rRNA
Rfam family: Bacterial small subunit ribosomal RNA
Source: RNAcentral
AGAGUUUGAUCCUGGCUCAGGAUGAACUCUGGCGGCGUGCCUAAUACAUGCAAGUCGAGCGAACGGACGAGAAGCUUGCUUCUCUGAUGUUAGCGGCGGACGGGUGAGUAACACGUGGAUAACCUACCUAUAAGACUGGGAUAACUUCGGGAAACCGGAGCUAAUACCGGAUAAUAUUUUGAACCGCAUGGUUCAAAAGUGAAAGACGGUCUUGCUGUCACUUAUAGAUGGAUCCGCGCUGCAUUAGCUAGUUGGUAAGGUAACGGCUUACCAAGGCAACGAUGCAUAGCCGACCUGAGAGGGUGAUCGGCCACACUGGAACUGAGACACGGUCCAGACUCCUACGGGAGGCAGCAGUAGGGAAUCUUCCGCAAUGGGCGAAAGCCUGACGGAGCAACGCCGCGUGAGUGAUGAAGGUCUUCGGAUCGUAAAACUCUGUUAUUAGGGAAGAACAUAUGUGUAAGUAACUGUGCACAUCUUGACGGUACCUAAUCAGAAAGCCACGGCUAACUACGUGCCAGCAGCCGCGGUAAUACGUAGGUGGCAAGCGUUAUCCGGAAUUAUUGGGCGUAAAGCGCGCGUAGGCGGUUUUUUAAGUCUGAUGUGAAAGCCCACGGCUCAACCGUGGAGGGUCAUUGGAAACUGGAAAACUUGAGUGCAGAAGAGGAAAGUGGAAUUCCAUGUGUAGCGGUGAAAUGCGCAGAGAUAUGGAGGAACACCAGUGGCGAAGGCGACUUUCUGGUCUGUAACUGACGCUGAUGUGCGAAAGCGUGGGGAUCAAACAGGAUUAGAUACCCUGGUAGUCCACGCCGUAAACGAUGAGUGCUAAGUGUUAGGGGGUUUCCGCCCCUUAGUGCUGCAGCUAACGCAUUAAGCACUCCGCCUGGGGAGUACGACCGCAAGGUUGAAACUCAAAGGAAUUGACGGGGACCCGCACAAGCGGUGGAGCAUGUGGUUUAAUUCGAAGCAACGCGAAGAACCUUACCAAAUCUUGACAUCCUUUGACAACUCUAGAGAUAGAGCUUUCCCCUUCGGGGGACAAAGUGACAGGUGGUGCAUGGUUGUCGUCAGCUCGUGUCGUGAGAUGUUGGGUUAAGUCCCGCAACGAGCGCAACCCUU